UUAUGGCACUGCUAUCGCAUCAAAAAGCCAAUCUCAACAUCAUCUAUGGAGGACAGAAGAAUACUGUAUUAGGGUGCCAAGACUGUGACACCCAAGUGGAAGAAAGCCAGGCAGCAUAUAUAGUGAACAGAUUGGAUAAGAAGCCUGGAGGAGAGAGAGAAGAAACUCUCACAGGACAAGACCUCUGUUCUUGGAGGAAAGAUUGUGGCAAGGAAAAGGUUGAAGGAUUUCUUCUUAGUAUAAAGAAAAUUUUCAAAAAAACAACAGCAACAACAACACACAAAACACCCAAAGAGUGGAACUGUAAAAUGUGAUGUCUCUCUUCUGUU
Molecule: non-coding RNA, 329 nt
Organism: Phascolarctos cinereus (koala)
Lineage: Eukaryota; Metazoa; Chordata; Mammalia; Diprotodontia; Phascolarctidae
Source: RefSeq, a predicted model, not a curated record